Molecule: transfer RNA, 22 nt
Filed under: Apalone spinifera emoryi
Lineage: Eukaryota; Metazoa; Chordata; Testudines; Trionychidae
Description: partial tRNA-His
Source: RNAcentral
GUUCAUAUAGUUUUAAAUCAAA